RNAcentral lists this long non-coding RNA (208 nucleotides) under Elaeis guineensis (African oil palm). Its description in RNAcentral is "long non-coding RNA (EGUI_LNC076761)". The record is from RNAcentral. Lineage: Eukaryota; Viridiplantae; Streptophyta; Magnoliopsida; Arecales; Arecaceae.
ACAGUAGAAUCCCGAGAGCAUUUGGAGCAGCCUAUUAGACGACUGAAGAAGCUCAUCGUUGGAGAAGUCCGGGAGAUGCGGCAGGGGUUCGUCCGUCGGAGAAACCUGGUCGAUACUUACGGAAGAAGCUGUGGGAGUUUAUCCGUCAGCAGAACUUGAGAAUGUUGCGGAAGCUCAACCGCCGGAGAGAUUCAAAAAUAUGUCGCCC